GUCAUUAUAGUGUAAAUAACACAUAGUCCUUUCAAGACUAAACUAAACAUAAGUUUUAAAGAUA
Molecule: transfer RNA, 64 nt
Filed under: Onisimus nanseni
Lineage: Eukaryota; Metazoa; Arthropoda; Malacostraca; Amphipoda; Lysianassidae
Description: tRNA-Glu
Source: RNAcentral